This is a long non-coding RNA of Homo sapiens (human), 870 nucleotides long. RefSeq annotates it as FTO intronic transcript 1. NCBI's taxonomy places the organism in Eukaryota, Metazoa, Chordata, Mammalia, Primates, Hominidae. The transcript is spliced from 2 exons. The record is from RefSeq and is marked validated.
GCAAGAAGCUAUAGAGAUCAAGAAGGAAACAUAGGGAUGGAGACUACUACUAAGCAUCUUCGACUAUGCUAAGUCCUGAGCAGACAGUGAAGAACUAGAAAGACAUGGCCCCGCCCUCAUGAAGAUUACAAGUUAGGCCUAUUCUCCACACUUGUUCUAACUCAAUCUGCUACAUAUACCUUGAGUACCCAGUAUGCGUUAGGUACUAAAAGGAGCUACAAAGAUGAACCAGACACAGUCUUCAAGAACUUCAGGGAUCAGGGAAGGUUUAUCCUGAUUGUAAUCCCUCCAGAGGUUUUGAUCAUUUCUCUAAUCACUUAUUAGGCCUCUUGCUUCCUGUAGGAAUUUGUUCUCUAUAUUAGAUUGAAAUCUGCCUGUUCUAAUUUCAACUUCCUUUCUUCUGGCCCUGGCUAGUCCUCAGUGUACAGAAUUGCCAUUGGUACCUGCUGGUCAAGGCCAAGUGUUGUGAGCCAAGGUUUCUAACCUUGGCUGCAGUUACACUUAACUGCUCCUCUCCGAAGCUGGAUUUAGCAGAGAUUUGAUGGAAGCCCUGCAAACCUCGAUUCAAAUCAAAGUUCAAACCUAGUGACUGGUUGAGUGAACUGCUUUAAUAAUAACAGUGCAAAAAUUGAAUUUAAAAUAAUCCUUUUAGGGAUGCAAGAUGCAGUGGUUUAGCCUUUUAUUAAUAUUCUUUUCUUUCCACUAAUAAAGAUUUUAAGUCAACAUCUCCUUAAAUUUGAUUAAUUCCAUUAGGAUCACUCCAAAAAAAGGUUUAUCAGUGGCUUUGAAAUCCAAAUGGGAUGAAGAAAAAAUCAUUUAUAUGGCAAAAUCUCAGUUACACUAACUAGAUUAAAGACCUUCUGCUGAAUU